This 374-nucleotide long non-coding RNA is filed under the name Struthio camelus australis. RNAcentral describes it as "lncRNA (ENSSCUG00000009351.1)". Lineage: Eukaryota; Metazoa; Chordata; Aves; Struthioniformes; Struthionidae. The record is from RNAcentral.
GCAGAAGGCUGUUCCCCACCAUUCUUCUUCGGGGCAGAAGCUAAAAAGAUCAAGAAGCUCUCUUGAUAUGAUCUUUAAAAAUAACAAGAAAGAAAUAGGCUACUGGAUAAGGUCAGGAGUAAUGAGAGGUGCCUACCCCAUCCUACUGGAGAAGCUAUAUUGCUGGCAUUACAGAAGUGAACGGUUGCAGUGAAGUUUGCCGAACUGAAAAAAACUACAGUAGCUGCAGGGUUGGCAAGUGUUUGCUACAGGACAAUCAUCUCUGCCAGAGAGGUGAGUAGACAGUUGAGAGUAGUGAUGCCUUAAAUCAUUAUGGGCUAAAUCUAUCAGUGCCUAUCUGUCAGAGCCCUUAGAAACUGUGCCAGCAGAUGAAG